ACUCUCUGCUUUCUUUCUCUUUUCUUUUUUUAUUUUCCUCUCUUGUCCUCACUGAUAUCAUUCUGUGCUUUCAAUCCUCAUAUGAAUCUUAUCAAAUUUGCCGCCCCUCUUGAAUCUGUUGUUGAUGUGAUGGUGUUUUCCGAUUGGCUAACUUAGCAAUUUGAUAGAUCAAUUUCACUCAAAAGGAGCAAUUUUGCCAGUUUUCCCACUGUUUACUUUCGCAGUUUAGCAGAGCGUCCCUUUUCAAUAGGACCGGGGAAGACGUCACUCUUCCUAGCUUGGCUUGCUGGUAGCUCUCUCCCACUUGGGUUGGGAGUAUAUAGGGUUUUGAUUUUGUUGGUUUCUGUAGAUCUGGAGACAAAGUGAGCGCUUGUUUGAAGAUCUGUGGAGCUUGUAUUGGUUGGUUUGAGCCACGCCACUUGCUGAUGAUAGUGGUUGCCCUCCUUUAGGAGGGUUCUUUAUAUUUGUGGUAAUGGGUAUCACGGGAUAUUAAGCUAGUCUCAUUCAGUGCUGACACCCCUUUUAGGGUAUAUGAGACUAAAGGCCGUGACUUAUCAGCCAUUAACCCGUUUGAUGGUUGUUGUUGCUAGUGGCGUUUUGUUGACUCUAGAGGUUUAGAGUUUGGCUGGGUUCGAGUUUAAGGUGGUGGCUCUAGUAAGGAGACAGUUUCUCUUGUUUGUUGUGGAAACUUCCUUCUCGUCCCUUCCUGUUGUUUCGCUCCAGCUCCAACUGCUAGAAGAAUCGCCCGCGCUGCAAGGGUUUCGAGUGCUUAGUUAUCUGGUCUUCUAGAGUUAUGUUUUCUAGGUUUGGGGUUGUUUUGUAUGGGCUAGUCUUAGGCUUUUUAGCCUAAUAUUUGCUGACCUCUUAUAUUUUAGCCCUUAAACCUUGUAAAUAAAUAAAUGUAAAAACACUGUAAAAAAAAAAAGGUCUGAAAGUUUUAGUUGCA
This is a long non-coding RNA of Hevea brasiliensis (rubber tree), 946 nucleotides long. RefSeq lists it as uncharacterized. The record is from RefSeq and is a predicted model, not a curated record. Lineage: Eukaryota; Viridiplantae; Streptophyta; Magnoliopsida; Malpighiales; Euphorbiaceae. The transcript is spliced from 2 exons.